GCUGUAUUUUAUUACACACGUACUUGGAUGGAAUGACUCCAUGAAAUGUGUAAAAAUGUGAACAAUCUUCGUGAUUGCGUUAAUGAUUGCGAUGGCAUUGCUACAGCUGCCAUCAAUGGUGAUAGCUGACAACAACAUCCUGUGCAAAUGAAAUUUGUGAUAACAGAAAAGUAGCAGAGAAAUACAUUCACGAUUUGUUAACAGCCUUGAUUAUGUCAAUUGUUGGUCGAAUCGUUGAAGGUCACGUACUGUAUUUUUUUUUUUUUUUGAAGGUCUUCAUUUGUUUACAGUCCGAGCACGCCCACAAAUAUUUUUUAACAACAUUGUCAAAAAAAUUUAAUGCCUCAAAGUAUAAAAAUGGCUAUUACAAAUUUAUUGGCGCUUUAUUUUUUAUUCAGAGUUUUGUAAAUAAAGGCACGUAAAUAAACUGAAGUGCUUACAAGGGAAAUGGCAUUUAUUAUAAAGUUACUUACCAUACAACAGAACGUAUAGUGCAAAGUCAACAACCCGACUUAAAGAAAAAUAUUAUAUUGCUGUCACUCAGUUCGAUUCACUGUCAAUUAAUUUUUAAGUAAGUAUGUACAUACAUGGCAUUCAACUGACUGUAUACUAUUUACUAUCUUUAUGUAAAAAUAUUAUUUUAAUGAUGUAAUGUGGAACGAUUUUCCGUCAUCCCUUGUUAAAUUUGGUUUGGAGGCAAACAGGUUUCUGCGUUGUGCCCUCUUCAGUGUAAUUUUUCGUUCUGAACAGUUUCUGUUUGUCCGUCACUAUUUAUAACCGCCGGAUUAUCCGCUGAGACGUACCUAUCUAAGAACCAACGACGAU
Long non-coding RNA from Rhagoletis pomonella (apple maggot), 825 nucleotides. RefSeq lists it as uncharacterized. The record is from RefSeq and is a predicted model, not a curated record. NCBI's taxonomy places the organism in Eukaryota, Metazoa, Arthropoda, Insecta, Diptera, Tephritidae. The transcript has 2 exons.